CAAUGGUGGUCAACAGAGGGAAGCAAGACCGCGAGGUGGAGCAAAUCCCUAAAAGCCAUCCCAGUUCGGAUUGCAGGCUGAAACCCGCCUGUAUGAAGUUGGAAUCGCUAGUAAUCGCGGAUCAGCAUGCCGCGGUGAAUACGUUCCCGGGCCUUGUACACACCGCCCGUCACACCAUGAGAGUCGGGAACACCCGAAGUCCGUAGUCUAACCGCAAGGGGGACGCGGCCGAAGGUGGGUUCGAUAAUUGGGGUGAAGUCGUAACAAGGUACC
This 273-nucleotide ribosomal RNA is filed under the name uncultured bacterium. RNAcentral describes it as "partial 16S ribosomal RNA". It matches the Rfam family "Bacterial small subunit ribosomal RNA", at positions 1228 to 1500 of the family's 1533-position model. The record is from RNAcentral.